CAUGGCUCAGAUUGAACGCUGGCGGCAGGCUUAACACAUGCAAGUCGAACGGUAGCAGGAGAAAGCUUGCUUUCUUGCUGACGAGUGGCGGACGGGUGAGUAAUGCUUGGGAAUCUGGCUUAUGGAGGGGGAUAACUACGGGAAACUGUAGCUAAUACCGCGUAGAAUCGGAAGAUGAAAGUGCGGGACCGCAAGGCCGCAUGCCAUGAGAUGAGCCCAAGUGGGAUUAGGUAGUUGGUGGGGUAAAGGCCUACCAAGCCUGCGAUCUCUAGCUGGUCUGAGAGGAUGGCCAGCCACACUGGAACUGAGACACGGUCCAGACUCCUACGG
Molecule: ribosomal RNA, 330 nt
Filed under: uncultured bacterium
Lineage: Bacteria
Description: bacterial SSU rRNA
Rfam family: Bacterial small subunit ribosomal RNA
Source: RNAcentral